RNAcentral lists this ribosomal RNA (253 nucleotides) under uncultured bacterium. RNAcentral's name for it is "partial 16S ribosomal RNA". It matches the Rfam family "Bacterial small subunit ribosomal RNA", at positions 524 to 776 of the family's 1533-position model. The record is from RNAcentral.
UACGGGGGGGGCAAGCGUUGUUCGGAAUUACUGGGCGUAAAGGGCGCGUAGGCGGCCUGCUAAGUCGGACGUGAAAUCCCCCGGCUCAACCGGGGAACUGCGUCCGAUACUGGUGGGCUCGAAUCCGGGAGAGGGAUGUGGAAUUCCAGGUGUAGCAGUGAAAUGCGUAGAGAUGUGGAGGAACACCGAUGGCGAAGGCAGCCCCCUGGGCUAACACUGACGCUCAUGCACGAAAGCGUGGGGAGCAAACAGG